GGCUCCAUAGCUCAGUUAGAGCACUGGUUUUGGAAACCAGGGGUCGCGAGUUCAAUCCUCGCUGGAGCCU
This is a non-coding RNA of Cyprinus carpio (common carp), 70 nucleotides long. The record is from the annotation of a RefSeq genome assembly. NCBI's taxonomy places the organism in Eukaryota, Metazoa, Chordata, Actinopteri, Cypriniformes, Cyprinidae.